This 375-nucleotide ribosomal RNA is filed under the name uncultured bacterium. Its description in RNAcentral is "bacterial SSU rRNA". It matches the Rfam family "Bacterial small subunit ribosomal RNA", at positions 30 to 407 of the family's 1533-position model. The record is from RNAcentral.
AUUGAACGCUGGCGGAAUGCUUUACACAUGCAAGUCGAACGGCAGCACGGACUUCGGUCUGGUGGCGAGUGGCGAACGGGUGAGUAAUAUAUCGGAACGUGCCCAGUCGUGGGGGAUAACGUAGUGAAAAUUACGCUAAUACCGCAUACGAUCUAAGGAUGAAAGCGGGGGAUCGCAAGACCUCGCGCGAUUGGAGCGGCCGAUAUCAGAUUAGGUAGUUGGUGAGGUAAAGGCUCACCAAGCCAACGAUCUGUAGCUGGUCUGAGAGGACGACCAGCCACACUGGAACUGAGACACGGUCCAGACUCCUACGGAGGCAGCAGUGGGAAUUUUGGACAAUGGGCGCAAGCCUGAUCCAGCCAUUCCGCGUGAGUG